GAUCUUUAUAAUGAUAUAAUUUUUAUUUGAUUAGAUGUUUUUAUUUUUAAGUUAUUACAUUAUUUUAUUGGGGUAAUAAUAAAAUUUAUAAAAUUUUUAUUUUUAUAAUAUCAAUUUAUAUUUGAUAGAAUAAAGAUCCAAUAGUAUUGAUCAUAAGAUUAAGUUACCUUAGGGAUAACAGCGUAAUGAUUUUUGAGAGUUCAUAUCGAUAAAAUAGAUUGC
This 222-nucleotide ribosomal RNA is filed under the name Sergentomyia minuta parroti. RNAcentral describes it as "partial 16S ribosomal RNA". Lineage: Eukaryota; Metazoa; Arthropoda; Insecta; Diptera; Psychodidae. The record is from RNAcentral.